GCGAAAGUUACGCUAAUACCGCAUAUUCUGUGAGCAGGAAAGCAGGGGAUCGCAAGACCUUGCGCUGAUUGAGCGGCCGAUGUCAGAUUAGCUAGUUGGUGAGGUAAAGGCUCACCAAGGCGACGAUCUGUAGGCGGGUCUGAGAGGAUGAUCCGCCACACUGGAACUGAGACACGGUCCAGACUCCUACGGGAGGCAGCAGGUGGGGUAAUUUUGGACAAUGGGGCAACCCUGAUCCAGCCAUGCCGCGUGAGUGAAGAAGGCCUUCGGGUUGUAAAGCUCUUUCGGCCGGGAAGAAAUCGCAUGGGUUAAUACCCUGUGCGGAUGACGGUACCGGCAUAAGAAGCACCGGCUAACUACGUG
RNAcentral lists this ribosomal RNA (363 nucleotides) under uncultured bacterium. RNAcentral's name for it is "bacterial SSU rRNA". It matches the Rfam family "Bacterial small subunit ribosomal RNA", at positions 151 to 507 of the family's 1533-position model. The record is from RNAcentral.